GACGAACGCUGGCGGCGUGCUUAACACAUGCAAGUCGAACGGAAAGGCCCUGCUUUUGUGGUGUGCUCGAGUGGCGAACGGGUGCGUAACACGUGAGUAACCUGCCCUUGGCUUUGGUAUAACUUCAGGAAACUGGGGCUAAUACCGUAUCGGAUCUCCUGCUGCAUUGUGGGCGUUGGAUCGUUUCGGCGGUUGGGGAUGGACUCGCGGCUUAUCAGCUUGUUGGUUGGGUAGUGGCUUACCAAGGCUUUGACGGGUAGCCGGCCUGAGAGGGUGACCGGCGACAUAGGGACUGAGGUACGGCCCAGACUGCUACGGGAGGCAGCAGGGGGGAAUAUUGCACAAUGGGCGGAAGCCGGAUGCAGCAACGCCGCGUGCGGGAUGACGGCCUUCGGGGUGAAAAACGCUUUCGCCUGUGACGAAGCGUGAGUGACGGUAAUGGGUAAAGAAGCACCGGCUAACUACGUG
This 468-nucleotide ribosomal RNA is filed under the name uncultured bacterium. RNAcentral describes it as "partial 16S ribosomal RNA". It matches the Rfam family "Bacterial small subunit ribosomal RNA", at positions 28 to 507 of the family's 1533-position model. The record is from RNAcentral.